UGCUCUACAUUAUUUAUAUCACAUUGAUCAUGAGUUUGUGGGAUCUGCUACUACCUUAUUGCUAUAUUUGUGGAGUUCGACAGGGACUCACUCUUGCUAUUUCCCCCACACCUCAGGAGAAGCUUUAGGCUUGUGAUCAUGAGUUGAUACCCGAAGUCUGGAUUUAUCUUCCGUUGUUUUUGCUGCCUAAGGUUAUCACUGAUUUACUAAGUAUUACAGAAUUGCUUGACAAGGAAGCUAGCAAAUAUCUGAGCAGCAUCAUUGAGAUAGCGAAGAGGGAUCUACUCUGUUGGCGGGCCUUGAUAAAGGCGCUGGCGUUGCCUAGGGUUCGCAAGGACUCAUAUAUAGUCUAUUGAUCAACUUCUCGCCCAAGAAUGUCACAUGUCAUUGAGGGCAUCGCUUAUGCAAGAGAGAGGUUGCAGCAGCCAAUCUCCAACUCUCCAUGCGGCUGUGCAGAGGAAAGCCGGGCGAAAUCAUGGUUAGCUUCCGGUCUACCUUGUUGAUGAUGGAACAGAAUCAAAAGGGACCAGCAGGCAACUUGCCAUUCAGCACUAGAGGGCCAAUAGGUAGCCCGCCAGUCAGCAGCUAGCACUGCAGUAGCCCCAUUGUUGGAACUGCAAAACAAUUUUAAUUUUCAUGGGAUUGUUUGUUGCUUUUGAGGAUGUCAGCAAGUUUGCAUCAACAUCAGUGAUAAAUUAUCUUCUGAACAAGGAUAUGAACUUUCAUUUGUCUUUCUCUGUUGCUAAAAGCAUACUAAAGGCGACGUCGCUUUGACUUUUUUUGGACA
Long non-coding RNA from Sorghum bicolor (sorghum), 787 nucleotides. RefSeq lists it as uncharacterized. NCBI's taxonomy places the organism in Eukaryota, Viridiplantae, Streptophyta, Magnoliopsida, Poales, Poaceae. The record is from RefSeq and is a predicted model, not a curated record. The transcript is spliced from 2 exons.